RNAcentral lists this long non-coding RNA (454 nucleotides) under Homo sapiens (human). RNAcentral's name for it is "non-protein coding lnc-DLL1-12:2". Lineage: Eukaryota; Metazoa; Chordata; Mammalia; Primates; Hominidae. The record is from RNAcentral.
CAGCAUUAAAGCCCCGUGGCCUGCACUGUUCUGGGAGCUCCUUCUGCAGGUCCGCGGCCAGGAAGUCCUGGCGACAUUAGCACUUCGGCUGAAAUCCGCCUUCCAGGAAGCGGCUCUGACCACCCCGCCAGAGGGACGGCCAGCCUUGCUGGGUCCCAGUGCACCGUCUACCACGGAGCUGCGGUCGCCGCACUGUGUGCUGACCGACCAACCAGAGUGGGUCACCGUGGCCCACCACACUAGCAAGGUGGAGACAGCAAAAGUGUGCGUCUAGUGUGGAGGGCUACAAACUACACUUUUCUGGCCCCCAGGGCAACAGUUUCCUGGACAUGUGGAAAGAUGGAUGUGUGGAUGGAGAGGUGACACACGCGCGGACGGAGAGGUGGACGUGUAGAUGGAGAGGUGGACAUGCCGGUGGAGAGGUGGAGGAUGAGGUCCAGAGAGCCUGGGACAG